CCUACGGGAGUCAGCAGUGAGGAAUAUUGGUCAAUGGGCGCGAGUCUGAACCAGCCAAGUAGCGUGAAGGAUGACUGUCCUAUGGGUUGUAAACUUCUUUUAUAAAGGAAUAAAACGAGGCACGUGUGCCUUUUUGUAUGUACUUUAUGAAUAAGGAUCGGCUAACUCCGUGCCAGCAGCCGCGGUAGUACGGAGGAUCCGAGCGUUAUCCGGAUUUAUUGGGUUUAAAGGGAGCGUAGAUGGGUUGUUAAGUCAGUUGUGAAAGUUUGCGGCGCAACCGUAAAAUUGCAAUUGAUACUGGCAGUCUUGAGUACAGUUGAGGUAGGCGGAAUUCGUGGUGUAGCGGUGAAAUGCUUAGAUAUCACGAAGAACUCCGAUUGCGAAGGCAGCUUACUAAACUGCCACUGACAUUGAUGCUCGAAAGUGUGGGUAUCAAACAGGAUUAGAUACCCGUGUAGUC
Molecule: ribosomal RNA, 460 nt
Filed under: uncultured bacterium
Lineage: Bacteria
Description: partial 16S ribosomal RNA
Rfam family: Bacterial small subunit ribosomal RNA
Source: RNAcentral